GAUGAACGCUGGCGGCGUGCUUAACACAUGCAAGUCGAACGAAGCACUUUAUUUGAUUUCCUUCGGGACUGAUUAUUUUGUGACUGAGUGGCGGACGGGUGAGUAACGCGUGGGUAACCUGCCUUGUACAGGGGGAUAACAGUUGGAAACGGCUGCUAAUACCGCAUAAGCGCACAGCAUCGCAUGAUGCAGUGUGAAAAACUCCGGUGGUAUAAGAUGGACCCGCGUUGGAUUAGCUAGUUGGUGAGGUAACGGCCCACCAAGGCGACGAUCCAUAGCCGACCUGAUAGGGUGACCGGCCACAGUGGGACUGAGACACGGCCCAAACUCCUACGGGAGGCAGCAGUGGGGAAUAUUGCACAAUGGGCGAAAGCCUGAUGCAGCGACGCCGCGUGAGCGAAGAAGUAUUUCGGUAUGUAAAGCUCUAUCAGCAGGGAAGAUAAUGACGUUACCUGACGAAGAAGCACCGGCUAAAUACGUG
RNAcentral lists this ribosomal RNA (481 nucleotides) under uncultured bacterium. RNAcentral describes it as "partial 16S ribosomal RNA". It matches the Rfam family "Bacterial small subunit ribosomal RNA", at positions 28 to 507 of the family's 1533-position model. The record is from RNAcentral.